AACCUCUUUUAUAUACUUAGAAAAUGCUUCCUACCUACACCAUCACUAUUUGAUACACAUGUCAUUGUCUUCUCAUCAUCAUUGUCGCUAAUGAGAAGAACAAUUAAAGGCACACUCUACCGGGGUACCGUGUCUUAGUUAUUCUUAGUGGAAGUUCCAUUGCAUGUCUAAUAAAGUCAUCAACCCCUUCUACAAAAUCCUCCCGCAAUCUAAAAUUCCAAUACAUAAACCAAAAUUUCAAUUCAUAUCCUAAAGUUUCAAUUCAUAUCCUAAAGGUUCAACUCAUAUCCACAAAAGUUCAAGUCAUAUCCUAAAAUUUCAAUUUAUAAACUAAAAUUCCAAUACAUAAACCAAAAUUUCAAUUCAUAUCCUAAAGGUUCAACUCAUAUCCACAAAAGUUCAAGUCAUAUCUUAAAAUUUCAAUUUAUAAGCUAAAAUUCAAAUACAUAAACCAAAAUUUCAAUUCAUAUCCACAAAAAUACAAGUCAAAUCCUAAAAUUUCAAUAUAAAAACUAAAAUUCCAAUACAUAAACCAAAAUUUCAAUUCAUAUCCUAAAGGUUCAACUCAUAUCCACAAAAGUUCAAGUCAUAUUCUAAAAUUUCAAUUUAUAAACUAAAACUCCAAUACAUAAACAAAAAUUUCAAUUCAUAUCCUAAAGAUUC
RNAcentral lists this long non-coding RNA (663 nucleotides) under Nicotiana tabacum (common tobacco). Its description in RNAcentral is "long non-coding RNA (NTAB_LNC018216)". Lineage: Eukaryota; Viridiplantae; Streptophyta; Magnoliopsida; Solanales; Solanaceae. The record is from RNAcentral.